RNAcentral lists this ribosomal RNA (468 nucleotides) under uncultured bacterium. Its description in RNAcentral is "partial 16S ribosomal RNA". It matches the Rfam family "Bacterial small subunit ribosomal RNA", at positions 28 to 507 of the family's 1533-position model. The record is from RNAcentral.
GACGAACGCUGGCGGCGUGCUUAACACAUGCAAGUCGAACGGAAAGGCCCUGCUUUUGUGGGGUGCUCGAGUGGCGAACGGGUGAGUAACACGUGAGUAACCUGCCCUUGACUUUGGGAUAACUUCAGGAAACUGGGGCUAAUACCGGAUAGGAGCUCCUGCUGCAUGGUGGGGGUUGGAAAGUUUCGGCGGUUGGGGAUGGACUCGCGGCUUAUCAGCUUGUUGGUGGGGUAGUGGCUUACCAAGGCUUUGACGGGUAGCCGGCCUGAGAGGGUGACCGGCCACAUUGGGACUGAGAUACGGCCCAGACUCCUACGGGAGGCAGCAGUGGGGAAUAUUGCACAAUGGGCGGAAGCCUGAUGCAGCAACGCCGCGUGCGGGAUGACCGCCUUCGGGUUGUAAACCGCUUUCGCCUGUGACGAAGCGGGAGUGACGGUAAUGGGUAAAGAAGCACCGGCUAACUACGUG